ACGGGAGGCAGCAGUGAGGAAUAUUGGUCAAUGGACGGAAGUCUGAACCAGCCAUCUCGCGUGCAGGAUUACAGCCCUAUGGGUUUUAAACUGCUUUUAUAAGGGGAUAAAGUUAGAUAUGUAUAUCUAUUUGCAGGUACCUUAUGAAUAAGGAUCGGCUAACUCCGUGCCAGCAGCCGCGGUAAUACGGAGGAUCCGAGCGUUAUCCGGAUUUAUUGGGUUUAAAGGGUGCGCAGGCGGCCCGUUAAGUCAGCGGUGAAAUGUCGGGGCUCAACCCGGGCACUGCCGUUGAAACUGGGGGGCUUGAGUACGGAUGAGGUCGGCGGAAUGUGACGUGUAGCGGUGAAAUGCAUAGAUAUGUCACAGAACACCGAUUGCGAAGGCAGCCGGCCAAUCCGCAACUGACGCUCAUGCACGAAAGCGUGGGGAUCGAACAGGAUUAGAUACCCUGGUA
Molecule: ribosomal RNA, 454 nt
Filed under: uncultured Parabacteroides sp.
Lineage: Bacteria; Pseudomonadati; Bacteroidota; Bacteroidia; Bacteroidales; Tannerellaceae
Description: partial 16S ribosomal RNA
Rfam family: Bacterial small subunit ribosomal RNA
Source: RNAcentral